This 342-nucleotide ribosomal RNA is filed under the name uncultured bacterium. RNAcentral's name for it is "bacterial SSU rRNA". It matches the Rfam family "Bacterial small subunit ribosomal RNA", at positions 29 to 402 of the family's 1533-position model. The record is from RNAcentral.
ACGAACGCUGGCGGCAGGCCUAACACAUGCAAGUCGAACGCUCCAGCAAUGGAGAGUGGCAGACGGGUGAGUAACGCGUGGGAACCUUCCCUAUGGUUCGGAAUAGCUCAGGGAAACUUGAGGUAAUACCGGAUAAGCCCUUCGGGGAAGAUUAUCGCCAUUGGAUGGGCCCGCGUAGGAUUAGCUAGUUGGUGAGGUAACGGCUCACCAAGGCGACGAUCCUUAGCUGGUCUGAGAGGAUGAUCAGCCACACUGGGACUGAGACACGGCCCAGACUCCUACGGGAGGCAGCAGUGGGGAAUAUUGGACAAUGGGCGCAAGCCUGAUCCAGCCAUGCCGCGU